UGGGGAAUUUUGCGCAAUGGGCGAAAGCCUGACGCAGCAACGCCGCGUGUGUGAUGAAGGUCUUCGGAUUGUAAAGCACUUUCGACCGGGACGAAACUCCUCUGGCUAAUAACCAGGGGCCUGACGGUACCGGGAGAAGAAGCACCGGCUAACUCUGUGCCAGCAGCCGCGGUAAUACAGAGGGUGCAAGCGUUGUUCGGAAUUAUUGGGCGUAAAGCGCGUGUAGGCGGCGUGACAAGUCGGGUGUGAAAGCCCUCAGCUCAACUGAGGAAGUGCGCCCGAAACUGUCGUGCUUGAGUGCCGGAGAGGGUGGCGGAAUUCCCCAAGUAGAGGUGAAAUUCGUAGAUAUGGGGAGGAACACCGGUGGCGAAGGCGGCCACCUGGACGGUAACUGACGCUGAGACGCGAAAGCGUGGGGAGCAAACA
This 426-nucleotide ribosomal RNA is filed under the name uncultured Myxococcus sp. RNAcentral describes it as "bacterial SSU rRNA". It matches the Rfam family "Bacterial small subunit ribosomal RNA", at positions 355 to 774 of the family's 1533-position model. The record is from RNAcentral. Lineage: Bacteria; Pseudomonadati; Myxococcota; Myxococcia; Myxococcales; Myxococcaceae.